Molecule: ribosomal RNA, 423 nt
Filed under: uncultured bacterium
Lineage: Bacteria
Description: bacterial SSU rRNA
Rfam family: Bacterial small subunit ribosomal RNA
Source: RNAcentral
AAGACCUUACGCUUUUGGAGCGGCCGAUGUCUGAUUAGCUUGUUGGUGAGGUAAAGGCUUACCAAGGCUUCGAUCAGUAGCUGGUCUGAGAGGACGACCAGCCACACUGGGACUGAGACACGGCCCAGACUCCUACGGGAGGCAGCAGUGGGGAAUUUUGGACAAUGGGGGGAAACCUGAUCCAGCCAUGCCGCGUGAGUGAAGAAGGCCUUCGGGUUGUAAAGCUCUUUCAGCCGGAACGAAACGGUUACGAUUAAUACCUGUAACUACUGACGGUACCGGAAGAAGAAGCACCGGCUAACUACGUGCCAGCAGCCGCGGUAAUACGUAGGGUGCGAGCGUUAAUCGGAAUUACUGGGCGUAAAGCGUGCGCAGGUGGUUUUGUAAGUCAGAUGUGAAAUCCCCGGGCUUAACCUGGGAACU